Molecule: ribosomal RNA, 455 nt
Filed under: uncultured bacterium
Lineage: Bacteria
Description: bacterial SSU rRNA
Rfam family: Bacterial small subunit ribosomal RNA
Source: RNAcentral
UACGGGAGGCAGCAGUGGGGAAUAUUGCACAAUGGGCGCAAGCCUGAUGCAGCCAUGCCGCGUGUAUGAAGAAGGCCUUCGGGUUGUAAAGUACUUUCAGCGGGGAGGAAGGCGAUGUGGUUAAUAACCGCGUCGAUUGACGUUACCCGCAGAAGAAGCACCGGCUAACUCCGUGCCAGCAGCCGCGGUAAUACGGAGGGUGCAAGCGUUAAUCGGAAUUACUGGGCGUAAAGCGCACGCAGGCGGUCUGUUAAGUCAGAUGUGAAAUCCCCGGGCUUAACCUGGGAACUGCAUUUUGAAACUGGCAGGCUUGAGUCUCGUAGAGGGGGUAGAAUUCCAGGUGUAGCGGUGAAAUGCGUAGAGAUCUGGAGGAAUACCGGUGGCGAAGGCGGCCCCUGGGACGAGACUGACGCUCAGGGUGCGAAAGCGUGGGGAGCAAACAGGGAUUAGAUACC